Lynx canadensis (Canada lynx) is the source of this 1300-nucleotide long non-coding RNA. RefSeq lists it as uncharacterized. The transcript has 2 exons. Lineage: Eukaryota; Metazoa; Chordata; Mammalia; Carnivora; Felidae. The record is from RefSeq and is a predicted model, not a curated record.
AGCCACCCAAUCCCCUCAAUUUGACACUUUAUUUAAUUUUAACUUAUUUAGAUUUGGAUUUAAAAGCAAUUAUUGGCAAAAAUUUAAGAGUCUAAACAACUUAAAAUCAACUUGGAUAUGAGUACCUGCUCUUUCUACUGUAACCAUUGUGAAAUGUAAACGCAGAUCAAAUAUUCCCAGGGAAAAUGUAGCACUCCCAUUGAGACAUGCCGUACCUGUAAAAUGGACCCCGGAUUGGUAAGAGUAAAAGAAUACAAAAUUCUUCAUGAAUGAUUUUUAUAUGGAGUGCAUAUUCAAUUUGUAACAUUUUGGAUACAUUGGGUUAAAUAAGUUAUAUCGGUCAAAUGAUUUUCACCUGUUUAUUUUUACUUUUUUUUUCUAGCGUGGCUCAUGGAAAAAUCUUCCUUAUAUACGUAAUUCUCACAUUUUGUUUCUAUUGGUCAGCUUGGCAUGUAUUAUCUAUCCAUAAAUCAAUGUAAGUAGUUAGGUUUUUUUUUUGUUUGUUUUUUUCUCUUCUGGGGGAAUACCAGCAGUUUCUUUGUCUGAGUGCUGGGCUUGACCUAAGGCCUAUUUUGAAGAAAGGAAUGAGUAUCUUUGAAGAGUAGGAUCACCGGCAGAUGGUAAAUGCUCCUGAGCACUCGGGAGGAAUGAGAGCCUGAGCCCAGGCCAACCAACUGCUCUGCCCCACGGUGGGCACCUUCUCCCCUCCCGCAGGCGGCACGGGCAGCAUCCUGGACUGUUCACACAAAUUAACGUCCCAAAUGCAGCUUCAAACCAGGAAAUGAUGCACCGAGACUGGUUUGGAACAACAGGAGCAGCCCCCUCCGCUCUGCAGAGAACGGGACGGGGCAAAGCGGCAGAAGCCCCAUCGUGGAAUCGCACAUGGGAGCCUCACUCUCACCCUCACCCUCCUCCAGAGGCCUGUAUCGUCCUUCUCUCCUCCUUCACUGGUUACUCAGAAGACGUGGGGUCUUUCCCUCCCGGCCAGGGCUAACCGGCCCUCCCCGCGCUCUUGACCUCAGGCUGCCACCUAUGGGGGGUGGACCCUGGGCAUAUAUAUCCUGCGGGUUCUGUUUCUCUGGGGAAUCCCGAUGGGUCCAUAGGCCGUGAGGUUAUGUUUCUUCAAAGUUCAUCCUGUUAGACAACAGUAAGGUUUGGACACUCAUUUUUCAGGCUCAAUUAGACUUUCAUUUUUUGGUGGGAGUAUAAGGGAAAAAACCACAUCACCUCUAAGUUAAUAUUUAAAUGUGUUCAUUUUAUUUGGCACUCCUUGAAUAAAGAGAUUCUUCUUUAUAGAAAA